This is a non-coding RNA of Pelobates cultripes (western spadefoot toad), 282 nucleotides long. The record is from the annotation of a GenBank genome assembly. NCBI's taxonomy places the organism in Eukaryota, Metazoa, Chordata, Amphibia, Anura, Pelobatidae.
GUUGAGCAAACCGGAUGCCUUUGAGCAAACAACAGAUGAGGGCAUGUUUAACUAUUGAAGUACUAUCCAAACCCAUAUGUCUCGCUGAUAUAGCUGAUCUGUACAGGUUUAUAGUACGAAAGGCUUUUCCUUCUUCAAAGAGCAGAGUCAGAAAUUGCAAGAUUGAUUUCACAGGAGCUGAUAUGGAAUCCACCGAUUGUCCCAUGCACCAAUCAGUCCAUUUUCUACAAGCCGACCCGCAGGAACGUCUGGUACCAGGUGCCCAAGACUCUGCCAACAGAC